AUGCGUAUUUCCCGGGAUGUCACGUUUGAUGAGUCUCAUCCCUUCUACCCACGUCCAUCGUCCUCGGCCUUUUCCAUGGAGGACAUCUCUUUUCUUACGUUUCCGGAUACACCUCCCUUCGUGCCUAGUAUUCCUACUCCUCGUCCCGCUGUUGCGGAUCCGACGUCGUCCUCUCCUAUGGUUUCUUCUCCUUCCUCAUCACAUGACUCUCCACCUUCGACACCGAUACCUUCCUCUUCUCCACCUUCAUCACCGAUACCUUCCGCUUCUCCACCUGCAUCACCGCUACAUUCCCCGUCUCCACCUCCAGUGAUUCCACCUCUCCCCUCCUUUCCUUUCCAUUAUACUCGUCAUCGACGUGUUGUGAACGAGUCUACUGUUGUGCCCUCUACUUCUGAUGUGUCAUCUUCCUCCUCACGGUCGACUUAUGGUCUUCGUUCUCGGCCUUGUCCGCCCCCUGAUUGA
This 465-nucleotide ribosomal RNA is filed under the name Triticum aestivum (bread wheat). Its description in RNAcentral is "partial small subunit ribosomal RNA". The record is from RNAcentral. Lineage: Eukaryota; Viridiplantae; Streptophyta; Magnoliopsida; Poales; Poaceae.